This 497-nucleotide ribosomal RNA is filed under the name uncultured bacterium. RNAcentral describes it as "partial 16S ribosomal RNA". It matches the Rfam family "Bacterial small subunit ribosomal RNA", at positions 28 to 507 of the family's 1533-position model. The record is from RNAcentral.
GAUGAACGCUGGCGGCGUGCCUAAUACAUGCAAGUCGAGCGGACGGACGAGAAGCUUGCUUCUCUGAUGUUAGCGGCGGACGGGUGAGUAACACGUGGAUAACUUACCUAUAAGACUGGGAUAACUUCGGGAAACCGGAGCUAAUACAGGACAAUAUUUUGAACCGGAUGGUUCAAAAGUGAACGACGGUCUUGCUGUCACUUAUAGAUGGAUCCGCGCUGCAUUAGCUAGUUGGUAAGGUAACGGCUUACCAAGGCAACGAUGCGUAGCUGACCUGAGAGGGUGAUCAGCCACACUGGAACUGAGACACGGUCCAGACUCCUACGGGAGGCAGCAGUAGGGAAUCUUCGACAAUGGGCGAAAGCCUGAUGCAGCAAUGCCGCGUGAGUGAUGAAGGUCUUCGGAUCGUAAAACUCUGUUAUUAGGGAAGAACAUCUGUGUAAGUAACUGUGCAGAUCUUGACGGUACCUAAUGAGAAAGCCACGGCUAACUUCGUG